UACAGAGGUCUCAAGCGUUGUUCGGAUUCAUUGGGCGUAAAGGGUGCGUAGGCGGCGCGGUAAGUCGGGUGUGAAAUCUCGGAGCUUAACUCCGAAACUGCAUUCGAUACUGCCGUGAUUGAGGACUGGAGAGGAGACUGGAAUUUACGGUGUAGCGGUGAAAUGCGUAGAUAUCGUAAGGAAGACCAGUGGCGAAGGCGGGUCUCUGGACAGUUCCUGACACUGAGACACGAAGGCCAGGGGAGCAAACGGG
RNAcentral lists this ribosomal RNA (253 nucleotides) under uncultured bacterium. RNAcentral describes it as "partial 16S ribosomal RNA". It matches the Rfam family "Bacterial small subunit ribosomal RNA", at positions 524 to 776 of the family's 1533-position model. The record is from RNAcentral.